Molecule: small RNA, 64 nt
Filed under: Synechococcus sp. JA-3-3Ab
Lineage: Bacteria; Bacillati; Cyanobacteriota; Cyanophyceae; Synechococcales; Synechococcaceae
Description: Cyanobacterial functional RNA 1
Rfam family: Cyanobacterial functional RNA 1
Source: Rfam by way of RNAcentral
GCGGAGACGCAUGUUUCCGUUCACUCCUCACACCAUCCGCCGCUCGACGUCGAGUCGGGCGGUU